This 486-nucleotide ribosomal RNA is filed under the name uncultured bacterium. Its description in RNAcentral is "partial 16S ribosomal RNA". It matches the Rfam family "Bacterial small subunit ribosomal RNA", at positions 30 to 507 of the family's 1533-position model. The record is from RNAcentral.
AUUGAACGCUGGCGGCAUGCCUUACACAUGCAAGUCGAACGGCAGCACGGGUGCUUGCACCUGGUGGCGAGUGGCGAACGGGUGAGUAAUACAUCGGAACAUGUCCUGUAGUGGGGGAUAGCCCGGCGAAAGCCGGAUUAAUACCGCAUACGAUCUACGGAUGAAAGCGGGGGACCUUCGGGCCUCGCGCUAUAGGGUUGGCCGAUGGCUGAUUAGCUAGUUGGUGGGGUAAAGGCCUACCAAGGCGACGAUCAGUAGCUGGUCUGAGAGGACGACCAGCCACACUGGGACUGAGACACGGCCCAGACUCCUACGGGAGGCAGCAGUGGGGAAUUUUGGACAAUGGGCGAAAGCCUGAUCCAGCAAUGCCGCGUGUGUGAAGAAGGCCUUCGGGUUCUAAAGCACUUUUGUCCGGAAAGAAAUCCUUGGCCCUAAUACGGUCGGGGGAUGACGGUACCGGAAGAAUAAGCACCGGCUAACUACGUG